GAACGGGUGAGUAACACGUGAGCAACCUGCCCGACAAACCGGGAUAACAGCGGGAAACUGCUGCUAAUACCGGAUACACCAGGUAUGGCGCAUGCUGUAUCUGGGAAAGGGUUUACCGAUGUCGGAUGGGCUCGCGUCCCAUUAGCUAGUUGGUGAGGUAACGGCUCACCAAGGCGACGAUGGGUAGCUGGUCUGAGAGGACGAUCAGCCACACUGGAACUGAGACACGGUCCAGACUCCUACGGGAGGCAGCAGUGGGGAAUCUUGCACAAUGGGCGAAAGCCUGAUGCAGCGACGCCGCGUGGAGGAUGAAGGCCUUCGGGUCGUAAACUCCUGUCUGGGGGGAUGAACACUGACAGUACCCCCGGAGGAAGCCCCGGCUAACUACGUGCCGGCAGCCGCGGUAAUACGUAGGGGGCGAGCGUUGUCCGGAAUUACUGGGCGUAAAG
Molecule: ribosomal RNA, 449 nt
Filed under: uncultured bacterium
Lineage: Bacteria
Description: bacterial SSU rRNA
Rfam family: Bacterial small subunit ribosomal RNA
Source: RNAcentral